UUCAGACCUGGAGAAAAGAUCCGAAGCAAUUUUAAAUUAAGACUAUAUUCCCAGACCUGUCAACACUAUAGUAUGAAUCACGGAACUGAGUACUUUCAUUAUUACUCACCAAACUUGCAAGUGUGUCUGCUGACAUCUCCGUGCUCAAUCUGCUGGACUAUUGAUGUGAGCACUGCUGUGCUCCAGAGGAGUUCUUAGCAUGUCCCAGUGAUGUUCAAAAUGUAACCCGAUUGCAAGGGUUCAUGAGGAAACCAAGGAUUGCCCGGCCAGGCUCAAGUCUUCCUCAUCCUUCUUCCUUCUGCCAUCUUUUGAGAAUGGUCACCGUAAGUGGCAUGAUUUGGUAACCGGAGGUCCUGAGCACAAAGGUUCUCAAACCUGAACAGAUAUCGGAACCACCCACCUGGAGGGCUGGGCACACUGAUUGUUUCCCGAGUUUCUAACUGAGUCGGCACAAAGUCGUGGCUUUGCCAUCUGACGGAGGACGCGCAGCGGUCGUCUCUGGCUGGGUAGACUGAGACCUGAACGCUGAGGGACUUAGGACCAGCAGUGCCGUCCAGGCCUGGCUGCAGACGGAAACUACUUCAAGAUAAGCUCCACCAAAAAUAGAGAGGAAAUCAAGAAGAUUAAGACGCAGGAUCCAGCGCAACGCUCCAGCACAGGAGAGACCAAAAGAACGUUUGACAAUCCACUGACUUCCUAGAAAACAGAAGAGUGGGCUGGGCAUGGUGGCUCACGCCUGUAAUCCCAGCACUCUGGGAGGCUGAGGUGGGUGGAUUACCUGAGAUCA
This 787-nucleotide long non-coding RNA is filed under the name Homo sapiens (human). RNAcentral's name for it is "HSALNT0356106". The record is from RNAcentral. Lineage: Eukaryota; Metazoa; Chordata; Mammalia; Primates; Hominidae.